UUGGUCAUUUAGAGGAAGUAAAAGUCGUAACAAGGUUUCCGUAGGUGAACCUGCGGAAGGAUCAUUAGUGAGUUCUUGGUCAUCUAGAGGAAGUAAAAGUCGUAACAAGGUUUCCGUAGGUGAACCUGCGGAAGGAUCAUUACAGAAAGUAAACGCGGAUCAAACCGCGAACUUCUAAACCUUUGACGAUUGACUCAUGUUGCCUCGGCGGGUUCUUCCGCCAGAGGAUACAUCAAAACUCCUGUUUUAACGGUGUUGUCUGAGCUGCAAGCAACGAAUCAAAACUUUCAACAACGGAUCUCUUGGUUCUGGCAUCGAUGAAGAACGCAGCGAAAUGCGAUAAGUAGUGUGAAUUGCAGAAUUCAGUGAAUCAUCGAAUCUUUGAACGCACAUUGCGCCCCUUGGUAUCCCGAGGGGCAUGCCUGUUCGAGCGUCAUUUAACCACUCAAGCCCGGCUUGGUGUUGGGCGACGUCUCCUUUAGGGACGCGUCUCGAAACGCUCGGCGGCGUGGCACCGGCUUUAAGCGUAGCAGAAUCUUUCGCUUUGAAAGUCGGGGCCUCGUCUGCCGGAAGACCUACUCGCAAGGUUGACCUCGAAUCAGGCAGGGAUACCCGCUGAACUUAAGCAUAUCAAUAAGUCGGAGGAAACACUCAUAUCUUUGGUUUAGACCUCAGAUCAGGCAGGAUUACCCGCUGAACUUAAGCAUAUCACUAGACGGAGGAAUUCUC
Molecule: ribosomal RNA, 729 nt
Filed under: Cenococcum geophilum
Lineage: Eukaryota; Fungi; Ascomycota; Dothideomycetes; Gloniales; Gloniaceae
Description: eukaryotic LSU rRNA
Rfam family: 5.8S ribosomal RNA (bases 283-436)
Source: RNAcentral